This 394-nucleotide unclassified non-coding RNA is filed under the name Hevea brasiliensis (rubber tree). Lineage: Eukaryota; Viridiplantae; Streptophyta; Magnoliopsida; Malpighiales; Euphorbiaceae. The record is from RNAcentral.
ACUGUGGAUGCAAUAUCCCAACAAUGAAAUAAUAUUGGGAUGUUGCAUUUGACUCAACAACUCUAACUCAGUCUCAAAUUCUUUAAUGGAAUUUUGGGUUAGUUUCUUGACAGCUACAUAAAAAUUGUCUUCCAAUUUAGCUUUGUACACACAUCCAAAACCCCCCUCACCUAAAAUCUCAGUUUCUUUAAAUUUGUUGGUGGCUGAUUCAAGUAUGUUGUAGUCCAUUAAAGAAACCAAUGUUUUCCUACUCAUUCCCUUCACAACAUCUGAGGUGUGAAAUCUUUUGUGAAAAAUCCAGAAUAAAAUGAUGAAGAUAAAGAUUAGUCCUAAUGCAGUAGAAGCUACAAUGAGUGCUAUCAACAGCCUUCUAUUUUUAUCCAUAGGGUGGGUG